RNAcentral lists this transfer RNA (68 nucleotides) under Olisthops cyanomelas (herring cale). Its description in RNAcentral is "tRNA-Ser (AGY)". The record is from RNAcentral. Lineage: Eukaryota; Metazoa; Chordata; Actinopteri; Labriformes; Odacidae.
AAGAGAGGCCAGUUAGCACCGAAGACUGCUAAUCUUCGCUCCCCCGGUUAGACUCCGGGGCUCACUUG